Molecule: ribosomal RNA, 448 nt
Filed under: uncultured bacterium
Lineage: Bacteria
Description: bacterial SSU rRNA
Rfam family: Bacterial small subunit ribosomal RNA
Source: RNAcentral
CAGCCAGACUCCUACGGGAGGCAGCAGUGGGGAAUAUUGCACAAUGGGGGAAACCCUGAUGCAGCAACGCCGCGUGAGUGAAGAAGUAUUUCGGUCUGUAAAGCUCUAUCAGCAGGGAAGAAGAUGACGGUACCUGAUUAAGAAGCCCCGGCCAACUACGUGCCAGCAGCCGCGGUAAUACGUAGGGAGCGAGCGUUAUCCGGAUUUACUGGGUGUAAAGGGCGUGUAGGCGGGAUGGCAAGUCAGGCGUGAAAACUAUGGGCUCAACCCAUAGCCUGCGUUUGAAACUGUCGUUCUUGAGUGAUGGAGAGGCAAGCGGAAUUCCGUGUGUAGCGGUGAAAUGCGUAGAUAUACGGAGGAACACCAGUGGCGAAGGCGGCUUGCUGGACAUUAACUGACGCUGAGGCGCGAAAGCGUGGGGAGCAAACAGGAUUAGAUACCCGCGUAC